GGCGGGGUGGAGCAGCCUGGUAGCUCGUCGGGCUCAUAACCCGAAGGUCGUCGGUUCAAAUCCGGCCCCCGCAACCA
RNAcentral lists this transfer RNA (77 nucleotides) under Escherichia coli. RNAcentral's name for it is "P-site tRNA fMet from Escherichia coli (PDB 9O2X, chain Z)". It matches the Rfam family "tRNA". From Rfam's summary of the family: Transfer RNA (tRNA) molecules are approximately 80 nucleotides in length. Their secondary structure includes four short double-helical elements and three loops (D, anti-codon, and T loops). RNAcentral also lists the same sequence under 30 other names. The record is from RNAcentral. Lineage: Bacteria; Pseudomonadati; Pseudomonadota; Gammaproteobacteria; Enterobacterales; Enterobacteriaceae.